This 234-nucleotide ribosomal RNA is filed under the name uncultured bacterium. RNAcentral's name for it is "partial 16S ribosomal RNA". It matches the Rfam family "Bacterial small subunit ribosomal RNA", at positions 524 to 754 of the family's 1533-position model. The record is from RNAcentral.
UACGUAGGGUGCAAGCGUUUAAUCGGAAUUACUGGGCGUAAAGCGUGCGCAGGCGGCUUUGCAAGACAGAUGUGAAAUCCCCGGGCUUAACCUGGGAACUGCAUUUGUGACUGCAUGGCUGGAGUGCGGCAGAGGGGGGAUGGAAUUCCGCGUGUAGCAGGUGAAAUGCGUAGAUAUGCGGAGGAACACCGAUGGCGAAGGCAGGUCUCUGGGCUGACACUGACGCUCAUGCAC